AACGCACGAGACCUGCGGACCUGCGGAGGGAUCAUUAAUGAGAAGCUGCCCCUCGUGGGUAGACCUCCCACCCUCUGUGAACUUACCUUUGUUGCUUUGGCAGGCCCGUCCUCUGGACCGCCGGCUUCGGCUGGCCCGUGCCUGCCAGAGGAUUCCAAACCCUGUCUGUCAGUGUUGCCUGAGUCUAUAUGAAAUCGUUAAAACUUUUAGCAAUGGAUCUCUAGAUCGGAAGAGCACACG
This 240-nucleotide unclassified non-coding RNA is filed under the name soil metagenome. RNAcentral describes it as "partial contains 5.8S ribosomal RNA, internal transcribed spacer 2, and large subunit ribosomal RNA". The record is from RNAcentral.